Molecule: ribosomal RNA, 253 nt
Filed under: uncultured bacterium
Lineage: Bacteria
Description: partial 16S ribosomal RNA
Rfam family: Bacterial small subunit ribosomal RNA
Source: RNAcentral
UACGAGGGGGGCGAGCGUUGUUCGGAAUUAUUGGGCGUAAAGAGCUCGUAGGCGGUUUGUCGCGUCUGCUGUGAAAACUCGGGGCUUAACCCCGGGCCUGCAGUGGGUACGGGCAGACUAGAGUGCGGUAGGGGAGACUGGAAUUCCUGGUGUAGCGGUGAAAUGCGCAGAUAUCAGGAGGAACACCGGUGGCGAAGGCGGGUCUCUGGGCCGUAACUGACGCUGAGGAGCGAAAGCGUGGGGAGCGAACAGG